UAUCUCUGUAGAGUCUGCAUAUCAAUAAGCGGAGGAAAAGAAACUAACAAGGAUUCCCUUAGUAACGGCGAGUGAAGCGGGAAGAGCUCAAAUUUGAAAUCUUCAAGGUUCUACCUUGACGAAUUGUAGUUUAAAGAAGUGUUUUCUGUUAGAUGAGUAGCAAAAGUUCCUUGGAAUGGGACAUCAUAGAGGGUGAGAAUCCCGUAUUUGGUUAUUCAUUCUAGCUUUGUGAUACACUUUCAAAGAGUCGGAUUGUUUGGGAAUGCAGUCCAAAAUGGGUGGUAAAUUUCAUCUAAAGCUAAAUAUUGGCGAGAGACCGAUAGCGAACAAGUACCGUGAGGGAAAGAUGAAAAGAACUUUGAAAAGAGAGUUAAACAGUACGUGAAAUUGUCAAAAGGGAAGCGUUUGACACCAGUGUUGUUUUUUCCGAAAAUCAAUUACGAAUGGCUUGAUUCUGUGUUGUAUUGACCUUAUCAGCUUUCUUCACUUUUUUCGAGUCUUUCUUAAUGCACUUUUUGGUUAACAAGGUCAACAUCAAUUUCUUUUGUUGUAAAAGAGUAUUCGGAAGGUGGCUUUCUUUUCGGAGAAAGUGUUUAUAGCCCUAUACUUCUACAAUCGGAGAGACUGAGGUCCUGCAGCGUAGAUCCUUCGGGGUUAGAUACACUUUGUGCUAAGUUAGUAGCUUUUCAUAGACAACUUGUUGACUAUGAUUAGUCAUUGUAGGCUUACUCGCUUAGUGCUAUUUUACCUACGCUUAGGAUGUUGAUGAUAUGCGCGACACG
RNAcentral lists this ribosomal RNA (782 nucleotides) under uncultured Neocallimastigales. RNAcentral describes it as "partial large subunit ribosomal RNA". It matches the Rfam family "Eukaryotic large subunit ribosomal RNA", at positions 24 to 644 of the family's 3401-position model. The record is from RNAcentral. Lineage: Eukaryota; Fungi; Neocallimastigomycota; Neocallimastigomycetes; Neocallimastigales.